UAAAUACUCCCGAGAGACCGAUAGCGAACCAGUACCGUGAGGGAAAGGUGAAAAGCACUUCGAACAGAAGAGUGAAAUAGUUCCUGAAACCGUGCGCCUACAAGCGGUCGGAGCUCGUUAAUGAGUGACGGCGUGCCUUUUGCAUAAUGAACCUACGAGUUGCCUUUGCCGGCAAGGUUAAGUGUGACGACACACGUAUCCGAAGCGAAAGCGAGUCUGAACAGGGCGUAUAGUCGGCAGUGGCAGACGCGAAACCAAGUGAUCUACCCUUGGCCAGGUUGAAGGCUGGGUAACACCAGCUGGAGGACCGCACCAAUAAGCGUUGAAAAGCUUCUGGAUGAGCUGAGGGUAGGGGUGAAAGGCUAAUCAAACUUGGAGAUAGCUCGUACUCCCCGAAAUGCAUUUAGGUGCAGCCUUGCGGGUUACUGAUGUGAGGUAGAGCGACUGAUAAGAUGCGAGGGCUUCACCGCCUAUCAAGUCUUGACAAACUCCGAAUGCGCAUCAGUUCUACCGCAGGAGUGAGGGCAUGGGUGCUAAGGUCCGUGCCCGAGAGGAGAAGAAUCCGGACCACCUGCUAAGGUCCCGAAAUGACAGCUAAGUUAAACUAACGAAGUCUGACUGCUAAGACAGCUAGGAUGUUGGCUUGGAAGCAGCCAUUCAUUUAAAGAGUGCGUAACAGCUCACUAGUCGAGGAGUCGGGCGUGGAUAAUAAUCGGGUAUCAAGUUGUCUACCGAAGCAGUGGGAUCAUUUAUAUGAUCGGUAGGGGAGCAUUCCAGUCAGCGUCGAAGGCGUACCGUGAGGUAUUCUGGAGCGUCUGGAAAAGCAAAUGUAGGUAUAAGUAACGAUAAAGGGGGCGGGAAACCCCCUCGCCGAAAGACUAAGGUUUCCUGAUCAACGCUAAUCGGAUCAGGGUCAGUCGGGUCCUAAGGCUCAGCCGAACGGCGAUGCCGAUGGCAGAAACGGUUAAUAUUCCGUUACUACCUUCAGGAGUGACGUGGAGACGCAGUAGUGACAGUGCCGCCAUCUGACGGAAUAGAUGGUUGAAGGGUGUAGGAGUCGAUCAUGGCAGGCAAAUCCACCAUGAGAUCCGAACCUGAUAGUAUGCCGCGUCCUUCGGGACAAGGCAAUAGUGCGCGUAAGCAUGCUGCCGAGAAAAUCCGCUAAACUUAAUCCUGCAGGUACCCGUACCGCAAACGGACACACGUAGUCGGGAUGAAUAUUCUAAGGCGCUUGAGUGAUUCACGGUUAAGGAACUAGGCAAACUGACCCUGUAACUUCGGGAUAAAGGGUCCCUACCCUUUUAUGGGAGGGCGCAGAGAAUCGGUCCAGGCAACUGUUUAACAAAAACACAGGGCUGUGCCAAAUCGAAAGAUCCAGUAUACAGCCUGACACCUGCCCGGUGCUGGAAGGUUAAGAGGAGAUGUCAUCGAUAAGAGAAGCGUUGAAUUGAAGCCCCAGUAAACGGCGGCCGUAACUAUAACGGUCCUAAGGUAGCGAAAUUCCUUGUCGGGUAAGUUCCGACCUGCACGAAUGGUGUAAUGAUCUGGACACUGUCUCAACCGUGAGCUCAGUGAAAUUGUAGUAUCGGUGAAGAUGCCGAUUACCCGCGAUGGGACGAAAAGACCCCGUGAACCUUUACUAUAGCUUAUCAUUGAAUCUGGGCACGUGAUGUGUAGGAUAGGUCGGAGGCUUUGAAGCAGGUACGCCAGUAUUUGUGGAGCCGCUGUUGAAAUACGACCCUUUAUUUGUUUGGAUUCUAACCCGUGGAACGGGGACAUUGAUUGGUGGGUAGUUUGACUGGGGUGGUCGCCUCCAAAAGCGUAACGGAGGCUUCUAAAGGUGCCCUCCGGCCGAUUGGUAACCGGCCUUAGAGUGUAAUGGCAUAAGGGCGCUUGACUGGGAGACUAACAAGUCGAUCAGGUAGGAAACUAGAGCAUAGUGAUCCGGUGUUUCCGUAUGGAAGGGACAUCGCUCAAAGGAUAAAAGGUACUCCGGGGAUAACAGGCUGAUCCCUCCCAAGAGCUCAUAUCGACGGAGUGGUUUGGCACCUCGAUGUCGGCUCGUCACAUCCUGGGGCUGGAGAAGGUCCCAAGGGUUGGGCUGUUCGCCCAUUAAAGUGGCACGCGAGCUGGGUUCAGAACGUCGUGAGACAGUUCGGUCUCUAUCUAUCGUGGGCGUAUGAAAUUUGCGUGGCUCUGACACUAGUACGAGAGGACCGUGUUGGACAGACCU
Molecule: ribosomal RNA, 2233 nt
Filed under: human gut metagenome
Description: bacterial LSU rRNA
Rfam family: Bacterial large subunit ribosomal RNA
Source: RNAcentral